Molecule: antisense RNA, 75 nt
Filed under: Micromonospora zamorensis
Lineage: Bacteria; Bacillati; Actinomycetota; Actinomycetes; Micromonosporales; Micromonosporaceae
Description: ASpks TB sRNA
Rfam family: ASpks TB sRNA
Source: RNAcentral
CUUGAUCGAGCCGAGCCACAGCGGUUGGUCGGCGGCCCGCUCCUGACCGUAGGUCGCCAGCAGCGCCUGCGCCUC